UUUUCAAAUUGUAAAAAUAUUAUUAUUAUUAUUUUCGGAUUUGAUAAAAAAAAAAAAUUGACUUUGGAUAAUUUACAAAAACGGAUUUUGCAUACUGGAAAAAAAAAUUGGCAAAGGUGGAUAAAGGCUGAUAACAAAAUCAGUUAAAAUUUUGAUCCUAUCCCAUGAACUUUCUAGAGUCUCAAGAUUGAUUUAUAAAUAUAUGUUUCAUCUUUCUAAUACUAUCAUUACGAUUUAAAAAAAAAAAAAAAAAAGUUUCGAAGCCGAAAUACCGACUUUGGAAAGCAACUCGUCACUUUCCUCAUUGUUGGGUAUGAUAAUUGAUCAUUACUAUCUACUUUAUUUAAUUACUUACUGAUCUUCUCCUUGGUUCACUUAAUUAGACUUUGUGGUGGAUGUUCUGGCUCUUGGGUUCGAAAGUUUGGUAGGUGAUUAUGAUGAUGAUGAUAUAAUAUCUCACGUUUGACUCAUCAAUUAGUUCAUCUAGUUGUCUAUUUUUGGGGUGAUUAGACUAUGGGUGGUGACAAAUCAAUUUUACGCUCAAUUCUUUUUUUUCCGUUAGUCGUACAAUUAUCUAAUUUAGGCUAUUUAUUUGUCUAUUUGUAGACGGAGGCUACUAGGUGAUCAUUCCGGAGUUAAUUACCUUGAAUUUUUACGCACAAUCAAGGUUGGUAGAAAGGGUACUCGGUUACGUGUGAUGAGACGUUAGAAUAAUCACGUAGCUAAGACAAUUUAGUUUAUCCCCGAGUUUAAUUAUUUCCUCUCAGUUAUUGGUUUCAAAUAAUUGCAGUUUUGAUGUAA
Long non-coding RNA from Chenopodium quinoa (quinoa), 801 nucleotides. RefSeq lists it as uncharacterized. The transcript is spliced from 2 exons. The record is from RefSeq and is a predicted model, not a curated record. Lineage: Eukaryota; Viridiplantae; Streptophyta; Magnoliopsida; Caryophyllales; Amaranthaceae.